GACGAACGCUGGCGGCGUGCUUAACACAUGCAAGUCGAACGGAAAGGCCCUGCUUUUGUGGGGUGCUCGAGUGGCGAACGGGUGAGUAACACGUGAGUAACCUGCCCUUGACUUUGGGAUAACUUCAGGAAACUGGGGCUAAUACCGGAUAGGAGCUCCUGCUGCAUGGUGGGGGUUGGAAAGUUUCGGCGGUUGGGGAUGGACUCGCGGCUUAUCAGCUUGUUGGUGGGGUAGUGGCUUACCAAGGCUUUGACGGGUAGCCGGCCUGAGAGGGUGACCGGCCACAUUGGGACUGAGAUACGUCCCAGACUCCUACCGGAGGCAGCAGUGCAGAAUAUUACACAAUGGGCGGAAGCCUGAUGCAGCAACGCCGCGUGCGGGAUGACGGCCUUCGGGUUGUAAACCGCUUUCGCCUGUGACGAAGCGUGAGUGACGGUAAUGGGUAAAGAAGCACCGGCUAACUACGUG
RNAcentral lists this ribosomal RNA (468 nucleotides) under uncultured bacterium. Its description in RNAcentral is "partial 16S ribosomal RNA". It matches the Rfam family "Bacterial small subunit ribosomal RNA", at positions 28 to 507 of the family's 1533-position model. The record is from RNAcentral.